AAAGAUCGCAGCCUGCGGCAGCUCCUACGGGUGUACACCAUUCCCUGUAGGAGCUGCCGCAGGCUGCGAUCUUU
This 74-nucleotide unclassified non-coding RNA is filed under the name Pseudomonas umsongensis. The record is from RNAcentral. Lineage: Bacteria; Pseudomonadati; Pseudomonadota; Gammaproteobacteria; Pseudomonadales; Pseudomonadaceae.